AGCCUACGGGGCGCAGCAGUGGGGAAUAUUGCACAAUGGGGGAAACCCUGAUGCAGCAACGCCGCGUGAAGGAAGACGGUUUUCGGAUUGUAAACUUCUGUUCUUAGUGAAGAAGAGUGACGGUAGCUAAGGAGCAAGCCACGGCUAACUACGUGCCAGCAGCCGCGGUAAUACGUAGGUGGCAAGCGUUGUCCGGAAUUACUGGGUGUAAAGGGGGCGCAGACGGCAGCGCAAGCCAGGAGUGAAAGCCCGGGGCCCAACCCCGGGACUGCUCUUGGAACUGCGCGGCUGGAGUGCAGGAGGGG
RNAcentral lists this ribosomal RNA (305 nucleotides) under uncultured bacterium. RNAcentral's name for it is "bacterial SSU rRNA". It matches the Rfam family "Bacterial small subunit ribosomal RNA", at positions 335 to 657 of the family's 1533-position model. The record is from RNAcentral.